Heterocephalus glaber (naked mole-rat) is the source of this 3148-nucleotide long non-coding RNA. The record is from Ensembl. Lineage: Eukaryota; Metazoa; Chordata; Mammalia; Rodentia; Bathyergidae.
UUAUAAAUGAAAAACCAUUGAGUCAUGUGAACAAACACACAUAAAAUAAGAUUGCAAGAUGCAGAAUUUUGGGAGUAUACUAACGACAGUGUGAGAAACAGAGCCAGCUUUCUUUGGAACUGUGGAAGAAGAGUGAGGGCAUCUUGAAAGUCUAAGGUUCUGGGGUGAAGAGAAAAGAGAGAAGCAGCAAACAGCACCAGAAAUCUUUGAUGAUCCUUUGCUUCAUGAACAAAGAGUGACUCUGUGAGGUGACACAAUCAGUUAACUGUCACAGACAGUUAAGGGAAACCCAACAAGGGACAGUACAGCAUCUGGCAGCUGGCAGUGGGGCCGUCCUUCCUACUCCAGGCCUGAAGGAACAAGGGGAGGAAGCAGUUCCUGGAACGUGAAGAAGGGUUCAGCUCACUUGGUCUGGGUUCAGGGGACUUGGCUAUAAAUCCCAUUCCCUAAGUCAGGAAGCCAGUUGCUGUGUUGUGAGCUGCUUAUGGAGGGGGCCUGGGGCCCACCCAGCAAGAAAGGAGAGCCUCUUGCCAGCAGCCGGUGAGGAACUGAAUCCUGCCAACAACCACAAAGGGGGCCUAUAAGCGAAUUCUUCUCCAGUUGACUCUUUUAAUGAGACGGUUGCCCAGGCUGACAGUUAACUGCAGUCUUCUGAGAUGAGAUUCGAUAAGCCAGAGCUUUGGAGAACACGAGCUCUGGAUGUGAGCUGAAAGGUGGCUGGUAAAGAGGGCCUCCCCUCCCUGAGUUCUGGCUUCAGCAUCUGCCCACAGAUAUUUCCUGAAAUCUCAGGGAGCUCAGCCCGCACUGGCGAGAGAGUGUCCUCCCUGUUGGAUACAACUCAUCCCUGAGAUUAAGAGCAUCUGUCAACUGCAGGCACCAGACAAGUGAUGUGCAGAGAGAAGACUGAAAAAAAAAAAAAGAAGGAAACAGCAGCCAGAGAUUCUCUCUACAUCACCCUUCUCCCCUACGUCACUGGAAAUCCAAGGCUCAGAGAUGCGCUGGUUGGAACUUUCCAGUCUGCAGUCCCACCUGCCAUGGGCUAUAGAGGCAGAGGGACUGAGAGGGGCCAGGGAGGGCUCUUGCUUUCAUAGCAACCUUUCUUGUGAAGUUUCUGCCAGUGGUAGCAUCACUGAUCAAAUAUUCAUCAGACCAGCAAUGUGCCCAUCUCACUGAGCAAAGAUAAAAAUAAAUGACACACAUCUUCCUCCCAAGAAGCUCGUGGCCAAAUGCUUCAGUGCAAUAAGAUCUGAGCUAUUUGAAGGAUGUUUUCAGGACUGUAGGAGAAGUUGAUUUAGGAAGUUUCACAUUAAAAAGCCCUGCUCCCUCUUUUUUGAUACAUAAACAGCCAUAUUAAUCAUUAACAUUUACUGAUGCUUUCUCUGAAGUGGGCAAAGUUUUAAGUAGUUUAUGUGAAUUAACUCAGUUGAUCCUAUACUGAUCAAGACUCUAUUCUGGUGUGGAUAAGCAUGGACUAUAAUUAUUAUCCCCAUUUUAUAGAUAAGAAAAAAUCCCAGAGAUGCCAUGCAGCUUGCUCAUAGCACACAGUUUAUAAGUGGGGCAAAAUGGGAUUUGGACUUCAACAGUUUGGACUCAAAGACCUUAGUAACACAGGGGACCUGCUCAUCUGAACUUUCAGGGUUCUGUCUGGGGAAUUUUUGAGCAACUUCAGCUAAUGAUGUUGAGGUUGAUUUUGGCCCUUUGACUCCUUUCUGUACUCUGGUGAGUUGCAAGUUCUGAGUUUGGGUUGAUUUGCAGGGAAACUAAUUCAAUCUUAUGUGCAAGUACAACUGUAUGAUGGCUCUUUCUUGGCUUCCUGGGGAUCCCACUGUUGCUUUUAAGUGUGAUGAAUUUAUUCUGGUUUCAUAGGACAUCACUGGACCAACUAGCCAACCAUUUCCCUCAUAGGUGAGGGCUUUGAACUUUUUCAGAGUUUCACGGUUCACAAAAGCUUUUGUUCGCAAACAAUUUGGUUCAUAAACAGAAGUGUUUGGCAAAAUUUCAUUUUUGUUUUCAAACUCUACAUUGGGUGGGAAAGAUGGCUGUGGUCAUGUUUCCCACACAAACACAAAUGUCGCCAUCUUUUCCAAAAUUGUAGAACAAAUUAAGUUUGUGAACCGAGGUACCACUGUAUUAGAAAUGACAUCCCAUUACUUCUUUUUCCUAGAAAUGAGUCACCAUGUCCAGCCCACACUCAAAGGAGGGGGAAUUAUGGUUCCUCUUGAAUGGAGGAUCAUUAAAGACUUUGUUGGUAUCUCUUCUAAAACUGCUAGAGUAAUUUCACUCAGUUUCAAUUUGUCCUUUCCCUUGUAUUAUUAUUGGAUUUGUAUUUGUCUGGGCUGCACUGUUUAAAAAUGAAAAUUCUCUUCUCUUUUUUUUCCUUUUUCCCACCCUUGUAUCUCAGUACCCAACACACAGUUAUCACUUAAUAAAUAUUUAUUUAAUUAAUGAAUAAUCUUAAUUUAAAAAAAUCUUUGAUAAAAGAAGUCACAAUCAACUUUUGUAGAAUAUCAUUGAAUCUCAAUAUAUACAUGAACAUUCUUGCUGCUGGCCUUUUAAUUUCAGUUUGAGGGUAAGGCAUGGAGUCAGCAGUCCAUGAUUUUUUUCUUCAUUCAUUAAUCAAUCAUUUAUUGAGCACUUAUUCUAUGCUAAAAAGAGUGCCAGGUUCUGAGGAUGCAGAGAUUAAUAGCAUCCACAAUGCCUUUUAUAAAUUAAGAUGCCCAUGUUAAGUAUAUAAAGCAGUCUGGUGCUUUUUGAAUCAUCUUCAAACAUGAACGACAAUAGGCAGCUGUAUUAGAAUCAGACCCUUGAUAUUGAGUUUGCAGAAGCUGUUUUAUCAGCGCAGCAUGUUGCCCCAGCGAAGUGCAGUAUUUACAUUUCAUUCCAAAGUGGUUGUGCCAACAUCAAUCCUCUGGUUUUUGUACUUUUGGUCACUGUUUGCAAAUGUAUAAAAGGUUUUGUCAAAGGAGCUGGAUAAAGAUGGGAAGAGAAUGGCGUUACAUAUGACUAGCAGAGAUCGUAGAGUGGCUGAUGCUGGGAAGCAUUCUACUAAGGUCAGGGGGGCAUACGUGGAGAGCGAAGGUAAUGUGAAGAAAUGGAAUUGGGAACGAUGAAAUAGCAGCAAAGAUGGGCUUUAGCGGAAAUGAGUGCA